UUUCCGUAGGUGAACCUGCGGAAGGACCAUUACUGAGUGAGGGCCCCUCGGGGUCCAACCUCCCACCCGUGUUUAACGAACCUUGUUGCUUCGGCGGGCCCGCCUCACGGCCGCCGGGGGGCAUUUGCACCCGGGCCCGCGCCCGCCGAAGCCACCUGUGAACGCUGUCUGAAGUAUGCAGUCUGAGACAAUUAUUAAAUUAAUUAAAACUUUCAACAACGGAUCUCUUGGUUCCG
RNAcentral lists this unclassified non-coding RNA (236 nucleotides) under plant metagenome. RNAcentral's name for it is "partial contains small subunit ribosomal RNA, internal transcribed spacer 1, and 5.8S ribosomal RNA". The record is from RNAcentral.